This 750-nucleotide ribosomal RNA is filed under the name uncultured bacterium. Its description in RNAcentral is "bacterial SSU rRNA". It matches the Rfam family "Bacterial small subunit ribosomal RNA", at positions 61 to 806 of the family's 1533-position model. The record is from RNAcentral.
GUCGAACGGGAUAGAACUUAGCAAUAGGUUCUUGAGAGUGGCGCACGGGUGCGUAACACGUAUGCAACCUACCUUUAACUGGGGGAUAGCCUCUCGAAAGAGAGAUUAAUACCCCAUAGUAUAAUUAGAGAGCAUUUUCUGAUUAUUAAAGAUUUAUCGGUUAAAGAUGGGCAUGCGGCUGAUUAGGUAGUUGGUGAGGUAAUGGCUCACCAAGCCAACGAUCAGUAGGGGGUCUGAGAGGAUGUCCCCCCACACUGGUACUGAGACACGGACCAGACUCCUACGGGAGGCAGCAGUAGGGAAUAUUGGACAAUGGGGGCAACCCUGAUCCAGCCAUUCCGCGUGCAGGAAUAAGGCCCUAUGGGUCGUAAACUGCUUUUGUAUGGGAAAAAAUCAUCUUACGUGUAGGGUGUUGAUGGUACCAUGAGAAUAAGGAUCGGCUAACUUCGUGCCAGCAGCCGCGGUAAUACGAAGGAUCCAAGCGUUGUCCGGAUUUACUGGGUUUAAAGGGUGCGUAGGCGGGGAAUUAAGUCAGUGGUGAAAGCUGGUAGCUCAACUAUCAAAUUGCCAUUGAAACUGAUUCUCUCGAGUACGGUUGAGGUAGCUGGAAUGUAACAUGUAGCGGUGAAAUGCUUAGAUAUGUUACAGAACACCGAUUGCGAAGGCAGGCUACUAAACCGUAACUGACGCUGAGGCACGAAAGCGUGGGGAUCAAACAGGAUUAGAUACCCUGGUAGUCCACGCUGUAAA